This 503-nucleotide long non-coding RNA is filed under the name Elaeis guineensis (African oil palm). Its description in RNAcentral is "long non-coding RNA (EGUI_LNC081739)". The record is from RNAcentral. Lineage: Eukaryota; Viridiplantae; Streptophyta; Magnoliopsida; Arecales; Arecaceae.
UGAAGGGUCUUGUGGAAGUCCGGUUGGCGUUGUUGAAGUCCGUAUGGGGACCGCUUAUUGAAGAAGCUCGGCUGAAGGCCACCUGUAAUAGGAGUUCGGAAGGAAUUCGUUUACAGUAGAAGCUCGGAUGGAAUUCGCUUACAGUAGAGAUCUGGAGUAGACCACUCGUAGUAGAAGUUCGGAGUAGACUGCUUGUAGUAGAGGUUCAGAGUAGAGAUUCUGCUGGUGGAGGCUGUUCGUCGUGGAAGUUCGGAGUAGACCGCUCGUAGUAGAAGUUUGGAGUAAACCACUCGUAGUAGAAGUUCGGAAUAGACCGCUCAUGGCUGGAAGAAGUCUGGAAGGAAUUCGGAGAAUAAUCGAUCACUGUAAAAAAUUGGCUGAUAGCGGAGUUCAGAGGGCGUUUGGAGCAAUCCGGUAGAUGAAUGGAGAAGCUCAUGAUUGGAGAAGCCUGGAUGGUAUUAUGGAAGCUCGAACGGUUGAGGGGGUUCAGAAAGAUGCCACAC